Gossypium hirsutum (cotton) is the source of this 119-nucleotide non-coding RNA. NCBI's taxonomy places the organism in Eukaryota, Viridiplantae, Streptophyta, Magnoliopsida, Malvales, Malvaceae. The record is from Rfam.
GGGUGUGACAAUACCAGCAGUAAUGCAUAGGAUCCCAUCAGAACUCUGAAGUUUAGCAUGCUUGCAUGAUAGUAGUACUAUUAUGGGUGACCUUCUAGGACAUCCUCGUUUUGUACCUU